CGGUAACGGUUGCAUAAAGACUUCCUGCUGUGCCUUUCCUCUGAAACAUUAUACCAUCAACCAAUGGAAGGCUGAGUGAAUGGGGCAUGCACAGAACAGUUUACAGUACGAAUGAUCAACAUUCUAAAAUAGGACAUACGGAUUAACAACAACGGAAUUUUGAAUUAUCACGAUAUAUAAUAAUCCAUCUGUUUGAAUAAUGACCGAAAUAUUGGAUAUUGUGUGUGAAAGAGAAGAAAAGAAUUAUAUGGAUGCCAAUGGUUGGAUAAAUGAAGAAAGAAAUAAAGACAACAAAUGAAGUCGGCCUAGUUAUGAUCGCUGUGUUGGUUUACACAUAAAAUCCCUGUGGCACCACCUCCAUCUAGAAGCCUGAGGAGGAUAGACAAAUUAUGCGUCUGUCGAUAAUUCGUAAACUCUUUAAAAUAUGACCAGAGAGUAGUGUCGGUGAUUUUCUACGAGAAUAAUCAACAAAAUUAUUGAAAUGAUAAUAGUGACGGUGACUAGUUUAUUUACAACACAUACCAUCGGUGGAAAUCCAUAUAAGUUGCUCCUAGGAGUUAAUGAUGAUAAUUUUUGCUUUUAUCAUUUAUAAUAUCAUUCUGUUCUGCUUUUGGGGGAUUUUAUUUUUUGUGUGUGUGCAUGCACCAGGUUUGUAAUCUAUUUUGGUCAACAAGUCUUCGUAGAUCCACAAAGUAUAUGUAAAUUUAAAGUGAAAGUGCUUGUUUUUAGUGAGUCUAACAAGGUAAAUUUAUUCCACUAGUCUAUAUCAGCGAAAACGAAAAAUACGUUAAUGUGAUCUUUCUGGUGGAUUCACCAACUUUCUUGUCUUGUAUAAAAGCUAAAAUUUUCCUGUUUGUUGGUUGCCCAACCAAUGCUAUAUUUAACACAGCGAUUUAUAAACCUUUUAAAAUUCUUGGUGAGUCCACCAAUUUGGAACUUUAGUUUCAUUUCACAUUUCGCACAAUUUUAUAUUGGUGGAUCCACCAAGUAUUGAAAUAGUAACAGCAUUUUUCAUUUUGGACAAGUUCUUAAAAUUUGUUCAGUGUAGUAGUUAUUGAUAUAUUGAUAUAUUAGAAAAUUUAACCUCUUUGACUAUUGGUGGAACCACCAAACAUUGUUUGCAGAAUUGUUGAUUUGUAGGCAUUCGAAAGGGUUUCGUUUUUGUCAUCUGUUCUAUUAUUGCUUUGUUGGUGGGUUCACCAAUUCUUUGAAUGAAAUACAAAUGCAUUGUACAAAAGUUUCACACUUGAUUUUUGGUGGAUCCACCAGGGUCCUCUGUGCAUGAAAUAUUUUAUGCUAUUCAAAAUAAUAGAAUCGCCAAUAUCUUAGUAUUGGUGGACCCACCAAGUUUAUUCGUAAGUGGGAUAUUUGAUGAAUAAAAUUGGUGGAACCACCAGGGUCCUCUGUGAGUGAGAUAUUUUAUGCUGUUCAAAAUAAUAGAAUCGCCAAUUUAUUAUUAUUGGUAGACCCACCAAGUUUAUUCGUAAGUGAAAUAAUCGAUGAAUGAAAUUGGUGGAAUCACCAAUAUUUUGACUGUAAUCGUGGAAUAUGAAGGUUUAAAGAUACUGUAAAAUGUGCUUUUGUGUAAAAAAGAUGGUGGGUUCACCAAUUUAUGUUGUAUUCAACGACCAAAAUGAAUAAAAUUCAUGUUCAUUUCUGUUA
Magallana angulata is the source of this 1662-nucleotide long non-coding RNA. RefSeq lists it as uncharacterized. Lineage: Eukaryota; Metazoa; Mollusca; Bivalvia; Ostreida; Ostreidae. The transcript is spliced from 2 exons. The record is from RefSeq and is a predicted model, not a curated record.